Molecule: long non-coding RNA, 1279 nt
Filed under: Carica papaya (papaya)
Lineage: Eukaryota; Viridiplantae; Streptophyta; Magnoliopsida; Brassicales; Caricaceae
Description: long non-coding RNA (CPAP_LNC007308)
Source: RNAcentral
UUCCGUCCAUCGAUAUAUAUAUUCCACUGGAUUAAUACUUCCAAACAUGUUCAAACUACGUAGGUAUAUAAUUUUCCGUCCUUCAGUACCAAUUUUUAUUUUUAUCAAAGUAAAUUAUUAGAAAUCACACUUUUAGCAUAUUAGUUGGUCCAGUUACCCUAUUGAUUAUUCAUAAUUCGUCACCCAAUAUAGUCUAUGCAUACAAGAAGACUGAUUUCCACCCUCUCAAUGCUGUUUGAUGCAGAAACCCAUAGAGUUAAAUUAACACAUGUUGACCAUGCUCUUAGGACAUUUUGAUUUUUUCAUUUUCAUUAAACAGAAGAAAACAUGUGCUGUAAAGCACAUAAUCAACCCCCUCACACUCCCCAGUUCCCCCAUCCCCAACAAAAAAAUCCGCCAUUCUGUUUUUCAUUUUUUGGCACAAAUAUAGAAUGCGGCAGACGAUUAUAAACCUAAAAAAAAAUGAUUAAUCUUUUCAAUGGGGGUUUUAGGAAGAGGAACAAUAACAGCAGCUUUUAAGCUUAAAACUGAAGUGCAUUUCAAAAUCUCAAGGCCAAGAAUGAAGAACAGCACAAGAAAUAAAAGUUAGCACAAGCACGAAGAAGAAAUAAAGCCCAAUUUUUUGGUGCAUUUUUUCUUUCCCUUUUACGCGGUUGUUCUUCCCAUAGCAACGAUCAACCCAAUACGAAGUGAUGGCACAAUCCGCAAUAUCAACAAAAAAAAGAGCAGUAUGACGUAGAAUACCACAUAGUUUGGCAGGUAAAGUGCUAAAAAACCUGAUUCAAUAUGAAGCUCUUGCCUUGACGAGACCUUCCACAGACAGAGACGACGCCAAUGGGACCCUUUACUUGGUGCAGGGCAUCAAUAGCUUCUGGGUCCGUCUUGAACUUUCCACAUUCAUCGGUAUACACCAGCCGUAUAGGUCUCCCUGAAUUCUCCUCUUUUGAAGAACAUGAAGAAGAUCCUACAUCAACCCACUUUUGCAUCGUCAUCUUCUUGCUCUUUUCACUUCUGAUUGCUCCGGCUUUGGAGUUGCUUAAAACUUCCGUCUGUAUUGUCACAUGGAGAGAUUUUGAGAUGAAAAGAGAAAUUGAAAUUUUUGAUUCGCUCUUAAACUCUUUCUAAUGGUAAAAUGUUUUUGACCCUUGAUUCAUGAAAAUUUUCUUUGCUUUCUUCCUAAAAUCUUUGAAGUUUAAAUAUCACAAACAGUAAAGAUUUUAACAUCACUCAUUUGUUUGUGACUUCUUUGUAUACUUAAGGUGUUCAUUCUACCCUGAAC